AUUUUUAAUUAUAAAAAUUUAGUAAUAAUGAUAAAAUUAGUAUUAAAAAUUUUAUUAUUAUAUUUAGAUAUAGGUUAAAUAAAGUAAUUCGGCAAAAAAUUUUUUACCUGUUUAUUAAAAACAUGUCUUUUUGUUUAUAUUUAAAGUCUCGCCUGCCCACUGAUUAAAUUAAAUGGCCGCGGUAUUUUGACCGUGCUAAGGUAGCAUAAUCAUUAGUUUUUUAAUUGAAAGCUAGAAUGAAGGGUUGGAUAAAAAAAUUUCUGUCUCUAUUUAAAUUUUUAAAAACUUUAUUUUUAAGUUAAAAAGCUUAAAUUUUAUUAAAAGACGAGAAGACCCUAUAGAGUUUUAUAAAUUUAUAAAUAUAUUAUUUUAGUAUUAAAUUUAUAUAUUAAAUAUUUAUUUAAUUGGGGUGAUUAAAAAAUUGAGUAAACUUUUUUUAUUUAUUUAUAUUAAUUUAUAAUUAAUUGAUCCAAUUAUUUUGAUUAUAAGAUUAAAUUACCUUAGGGAUAACAGCGUAAUUUUAUUGGAGAGUUCAAAUUGAUAAUAAAGAUUGCGACCUCGAUGUUGGAUUAAAAUUUAUAAUUGGUGUAGGAGCUAGUUUAUUAAGUCUGUUCGACUUUUAAAAUUUUACAUGAUCUGAGUUUAAACCGGUGUGAGCCAGGUUGGUUUCUAUCUUUAAUGGGUUAAUAUAUUUUAGUACGAAAGGACCAAGUAU
RNAcentral lists this ribosomal RNA (715 nucleotides) under Aristobrotica sp. REN-2018. Its description in RNAcentral is "partial large subunit ribosomal RNA". The stretch from base 506 to 664 matches the Rfam family "Bacterial large subunit ribosomal RNA", at positions 2473 to 2632 of the family's 2925-position model. The record is from RNAcentral. Lineage: Eukaryota; Metazoa; Arthropoda; Insecta; Coleoptera; Chrysomelidae.